UACUGCUGUUUGUUCCUUCUGUGAGCGCUCCCAUAUCAGCAAUGGCCUCGUGUGUCCCUGAGUCUGAGGUCAGCGUUCGAAUAGCUGUUGCCAUCUUGCAAACUGGCAGGCCAUGAGCCUGGGCUCUUGGGUCUCGGGCCACAGGCCUCCAGGUUCUGCAAAGGGAGCAGGACUGACUCUCACCCACCACCAUCAGAACACCCGUGCCUUCCGGGGACAGAGGUUCAGGCUUCAAGCCCGUACCUCUCUGUGACCACUGGGUGUCAGCACUGAUCUGUGCUUGAUGACUGAAGCGCUUGGGUGGGCAGAGCCUGCUGCACCAGGGUUUCCAGUAGACCUAAGAGGAGCCUGACCACAGGACGUAAAGAAUCUCCUUUGCCACCAGCUUCAACUGAUGUGGACACCAAGCAACCAGGGCUGGACUCUCAGGCACUGUGGCCCAAGACGAGCUGCCAGGAUCCCCUGCCUUUCCUCCUGUCAUCUGGAAGGGCAGCUGAAGAGCUCGCCCACACUGAAGCAAACUGGAAGGCCGACAUUUGAAAGACCUGUGUGCUCUACGUCCCAUUCUGCCGCGGUUCCCUGGCACAGUGGUGAAGAGGCUGCCCUGCGCUUGACCUGGUCAUGUCCUCAGUGCUACCCUUGCUGCUGAACAGACACACUCAGAAGUGUGCAGUGACCUGUGGUAACAGGUAUCACCCUACAAUAGCUGUAACCCUGCACAUUCCCAGUCGGAGUCUGUUGACCCUCCGUGGUGUUCUCAGAUCCUCCUAGUCGUUUUCAGCCUAUGCUGCGCUGUUUCUUGCUUGAAGGCAGGAAUGAAGCUCCAGGGUCUGGGAUUCCUGGUGUCGGAUACAGAAAGCCAGUGCAUGUUUUGAGGGUGUAUCUGUCUUCUCUCUGUCUUUUUUUUUUUUUUUUUUUUUGAGGACUUUUGUUGAACAGUUAAGCUGUAUUUACCAGGGGUGGGAAGACGGUGAGUAAAAUCCCUUCUAUCUGAGCAUGAAGAUCUGAGUUUGGAUUCCAUCACUGAUAGAAAAGCUGAGUGUAAAGUUGGUUGGCUUUAAUCCCAGCACUCGGUGGUAGAGACAGGCUGAUCUCUGAGUGUGAGGCCAGCCUGCUCUGGUGCUGAGGGACUGGAAAUGGAAGCCUCUUGGGAGCUCAGUGCUCAUCUUGUGGCACCAAUCAGUGAGCUCUGGGUUCAGUGUGAGACUCUUCCCCCAAAAGGAUAAGAUGAAGAACAAUAGCAGAAGAUGUCUGGUAUCACCUCUGCCUGCACAUACAUGUGCACACAUGUGGGUGGUACCUAUACAUACAUGCACAUGUGAGCACUGUAACACACACGCACACACGUGAACGGGCACAGGCACAGGCAUAGCUCCAGGUCCUGAAGCCCCCUGACUGUUGGAUGCCAAGCACUCUGUGGCUCAAGGCUGGGUGAGCGCCGGAGCUUAGUGAUGGCAGCCCUCUUGCUGUGCAUGCUUAUCUCGUCUCACCGAGAAACCGAGUGUUCCGGAGGAAACCGUGUCAAGCAGACAGUCUCUUCCUUACGAGAGGCCACACAGGAUACUCUUGCCUACAGAUAUUUCCUUUUCAAACACUCCACAACGACAGAAUUCCCUGACACAGUCAGUUUCCCUUUCUAUUAUAAGUCAGAUUUUGGAAAAGGGCCUGACAUUUCAGCUUUCUUGGGACUUCAACUUUAUUUUCAGAAAGAAAGAAAGAAAGAAAGAAAGAAAGAAGAAAGAAAGAAGAAAGAAAGA
Long non-coding RNA from Psammomys obesus (fat sand rat), 1757 nucleotides. RefSeq lists it as uncharacterized. The transcript has 3 exons. The record is from RefSeq and is a predicted model, not a curated record. Lineage: Eukaryota; Metazoa; Chordata; Mammalia; Rodentia; Muridae.